GUAUUCUGUUAGAUCAAAUAGAAUAAGAAAAAUAAAUUUUUAUCUUCACUUAUUUCUUCUUUGAUGCUCUUACUUCCUGCAUCUUAUCUAUGUUGUUUUCCUCCUCUCUAAAAAUCUUCAAGCAUUUAUUGCAAGACAGGUCUACUGGCAAUACAUUUUCUCAAUUUUUAUUUUCCUUAGGAAGUCUUUCACUUUUGAAAGAUAAUUUUAUAGGGUGCAGAAUUCUAGUUUUUUCUCUCUCUGCACUUUAAACAUUUCAGUACACUCAUUGUUUUGUUUUGUGUUUUUUUUUUUUUUUUUUUUUUUGGCAUGGAUUCUGAGAAGUUACAAAUAUUUCUUAGCUUUUUUCUUGCAUAUGUAAGGUUUUUUUUUUUUUUUUUCCUUUUGGCUUCUUUCAGGACCUUUUCAGUAUCUUUUAUUUCCUUUAGUCUGAAAAUGAUAUGCCCAAGUUUAAUAUUUUAGCAUUUAUCCAGCAUGGUGUUCUCUUGGCUUCCUGGAUUUGUAGUUCGGUGUCUGACAUUAGUUUGGGAAACUUCUCAGUCUUUUGGACGGAGCUGUGUGCUUAGUCAUUCAGUAUUGUCUGACCCUUUGUGAUCCCAUGUCCAGGCUCCUCUUUUCAUGGGAUUUUCCCAGCAAAAAUACUAGAGUGGGUUGCCAUUUCCUUCUCCAGGGGAUCUUCCUGACCCAGGGAUCGAACCUACAUCUCCUGCAUUGGCAGAUGGAUUCUUUAUCAUUGAGCCGCCUGGGAAUGCCAGGGGGCUUUACACUUUGUUGUAAUUUUUUCCUGAUAUCUGUACAUGAAGAAUUGGGUAAAAGAAACUGCUGUAAAUAGACCUUUAGUAAUGUGGCAGUAUGCUGUGGGGGCAGGCAGGCAUUGUAUAAUCCUGUGUUUAGGUGUGCCUCUGCACUGUGAACUUCACAGGUACUUCUCAGUACCCCCCUUUAAAAUGGGCUGGAGUUGUGUGUUUUUGUUCUUUUUCAUUUGUGCCGGAGGAGACUGGUAUUUCUCACUUUCUUUUCUCCAUGCAGGAGGCAAGAGCCAACUGGAGUAGGCUAUUUCCCUUUCCCAGGUUCAGUUCAGUUCAGUUCAGUCUCUCAGUCGUGUCUGACUCUUUGCGACCCCAUGAAUCGCAGCACGCCAGGCCUCCCUGUCCAUCACCAACUCCCGGAGUUCACUCAGACUCAGGUCCAUUGAGUCAGUGAUGCCAUCCAGGUUACUUAGCCUCUAAUAACAUCCCACCUGGUUAGGCUCUAGUUAAUGAGUUUCCACUGAGAGCAGAUCUUAUUAAGAAUCAUGGAUUGCUCUACUGUAUUUCAAAAUGGCUGUUUUCCUCUGCUCAUGUGGAAAGCACAGGGUAGUUUUCUCUGGGAUUCACUGUGAGAAGCUAGUUAAGCUCCUGGGGUGAAGUUCACAAAAUAUGGGGACCUCCCUGUGAGUUGUUCACCCUGAAGAUUUUACUUCUCAGGCUUUCCACCCUGAGCCUCCAACAAUUCUUCAGCUAGAAUUAAGAUUUUCUUACCCCACACUAUUUUCCAUGGAGGUUUCAGCUCAUGGUUUUCUGUUCUGGUACAGUUAUUCUCCUAUCCUUGAAAAUGUUCUCCACAUUGGAAAUGACUCAUGAUUCUUUGGAAAUCUACACAAACCCUGAUGUAUCCAAGUGUUGACGCUUGAGUUGUUUCCAUAAUGUGGCUGUGGAAGAUAGACUGCAGUGAACAUGGGAGUGCUAAUAUCUUUUCAAGAUUUCUUUGGUUAUUUAUGGUCUUUCAAGCCAACAAAGGUCCGUC
Bubalus bubalis (water buffalo) is the source of this 1785-nucleotide long non-coding RNA. RefSeq lists it as uncharacterized. The record is from RefSeq and is a predicted model, not a curated record. The transcript has 4 exons. NCBI's taxonomy places the organism in Eukaryota, Metazoa, Chordata, Mammalia, Artiodactyla, Bovidae.